This 329-nucleotide ribosomal RNA is filed under the name uncultured eukaryote. RNAcentral describes it as "partial 18S ribosomal RNA". It matches the Rfam family "Eukaryotic small subunit ribosomal RNA", at positions 1470 to 1796 of the family's 1831-position model. The record is from RNAcentral.
CCCUUAGAUGUUCUGGGCCGCACGCGCGCUACACUGAUGCAUUCAACGAGUCUAAAACCUGGUCUGAGAGGGCUGGGUAAUCUUUUGAAAGUGCAUCGUGAUUGGGAUAGAUGAUUGCAAUUCUUCAUCUUCAACGAGGAAUGCCUAGUAAACGCAAGUCAUCAGCUUGCAUUGAUUACGUCCCUGCCCUUUGUACACACCGCCCGUCGCUCCUACCGAUUGAACGAUCCGAUGAAAACUGUGGAUUGAGAGUCUGAGUGGGUUCGCCUACCUCAACUUUUGAGAAGCGGUUUAAAUCUUAUCGUUUAGAGGAAGGAGAAGUCGUAACA